Molecule: ribosomal RNA, 253 nt
Filed under: uncultured bacterium
Lineage: Bacteria
Description: partial 16S ribosomal RNA
Rfam family: Bacterial small subunit ribosomal RNA
Source: RNAcentral
UACGGGGGGGGCAAGCGUUGUUCGGAAUCACUGGGCGUAAAGCGCACGUAGGCGGGUCCUUAAGUCGGGGGUGAAAUCCUGGAGCUCAACUCCAGAACUGCCUUCGAUACUGGGGAUCUCGAGUCCGGGAGAGGUGAGUGGAACUCCGAGUGUAGAGGUGAAAUUCGUAGAUAUUCGGAAGAACACCAGUGGCGAAGGCGGCUCACUGGCCCGGUACUGACGCUGAGGUGCGAAAGCGUGGGGAGCAAACAGG